Long non-coding RNA from Rhagoletis zephyria (snowberry fruit fly), 102 nucleotides. RefSeq lists it as uncharacterized. The record is from RefSeq and is a predicted model, not a curated record. Lineage: Eukaryota; Metazoa; Arthropoda; Insecta; Diptera; Tephritidae.
AGAGUAUAUAUUAAAUAUUAAAUAAACAAAAGAAAUAUAGCGAAAACUGGUCAACAUGUGGCAUUCUAUUAUUUCCAGCAUUGUAAAUUACAAGUCCCGAAA